AGCAGCCGCGGUAAUUCCAGCUCCAAUAGCGUAUAUUAAAGUUGUUGCAGUUAAAAAGCUCGUAGUUGAAUUUCGGGAUCAAUAUGUUGGUCGUGCCUUGGUACGUACUGGCAUUAUUGGUUCCUACCUUCUGAAGAACCUCGAUGUCAUUAAUUUGGUGUCUUGGGGAAUCAGGACUGUUACUUUGAAAAAUUAGAGUGUUUAAAGCAGGCUCGCGCUUGAAUACAUUAGCAUGGAAUAAUGAAAUAGGACGUUUGAUUCUAUUUUGUUGGUUUCUAGGAUCGACGUAAUGAUUAAUAGGGAUAGUUGGGGGCAUUAGUAUUCAAUUGUCAGAGGUGAAAUUCUUGGAUUUAUUGAAGACUAACUACUGCGAAAGCAUUUGCCAAGGAUGUUUUCAUUAAUCAAGAACGAAAGUUAGGGGAUCGAAGACGAUCAGAUACCGUCGUAGUCUUAACCAUAAACUAUGCCGACUAGGGAUUGGAUGAUGUAAUUUUUAAUGACUCAUUC
This 507-nucleotide ribosomal RNA is filed under the name uncultured Glomus. RNAcentral describes it as "SSU rRNA". It matches the Rfam family "Eukaryotic small subunit ribosomal RNA", at positions 569 to 1081 of the family's 1831-position model. The record is from RNAcentral. Lineage: Eukaryota; Fungi; Glomeromycota; Glomeromycetes; Glomerales; Glomeraceae.